AUUGAACGCUGGCGGCAGGCCUAACACAUGCAAGUCGAGCGGAUGAAGGGAGCUUGCUCCUGGAUUCAGCGGCGGACGGGUGAGUAAUGCCUAGGAAUCUGCCUGGUAGUGGGGGAUAACGUCCGGAAACGGGCGCUAAUACCGCAUACGUCCUGAGGGAGAAAGUGGGGGAUCUUCGGACCUCACGCUAUCAGAUGAGCCUAGGUCGGAUUAGCUAGUUCGUGGGGUAAAGGCCUACCAAGGCGACGAUCCGUAACUGGUCUGAGAGGAUGAUCAGUCACACUGGAACUGAGACACGGUCCAGACUCCUACGGGAGGCAGCAGUGGGGAAUAUUGGACAAUGGGCGAAAGCCUGAUCCAGCCAUGCCGCGUGUGUGAAGAAGGUCUUCGGAUUGUAAAGCACUUUAAGUUGGGAGGAAGGGCAGUAAGUUAAUACCUUGCUGUUUUGACGUUACCAACAGAAUAAGCACCGGCUAACUUCGUG
This 484-nucleotide ribosomal RNA is filed under the name uncultured bacterium. RNAcentral's name for it is "partial 16S ribosomal RNA". It matches the Rfam family "Bacterial small subunit ribosomal RNA", at positions 30 to 507 of the family's 1533-position model. The record is from RNAcentral.